RNAcentral lists this ribosomal RNA (1093 nucleotides) under Lactiplantibacillus plantarum. Its description in RNAcentral is "bacterial SSU rRNA". It matches the Rfam family "Bacterial small subunit ribosomal RNA", at positions 74 to 1143 of the family's 1533-position model. Lineage: Bacteria; Bacillati; Bacillota; Bacilli; Lactobacillales; Lactobacillaceae. The record is from RNAcentral.
GGGUGCUUGCAUCAUGAUUUACAUUUGAGUGAGUGGCGAACUGGUGAGUAACACGUGGGAAACCUGCCCAGAAGCGGGGGAUAACACCUGGAAACAGAUGCUAAUACCGCAUAACAACUUGGACCGCAUGGUCCGAGCUUGAAAGAUGGCUUCGGCUAUCACUUUUGGAUGGUCCCGCGGCGUAUUAGCUAGAUGGUGGGGUAACGGCUCACCAUGGCAAUGAUACGUAGCCGACCUGAGAGGGUAAUCGGCCACAUUGGGACUGAGACACGGCCCAAACUCCUACGGGAGGCAGCAGUAGGGAAUCUUCCACAAUGGACGAAAGUCUGAUGGAGCAACGCCGCGUGAGUGAAGAAGGGUUUCGGCUCGUAAAACUCUGUUGUUAAAGAAGAACAUAUCUGAGAGUAACUGUUCAGGUAUUGACGGUAUUUAACCAGAAAGCCACGGCUAACUACGUGCCAGCAGCCGCGGUAAUACGUAGGUGGCAAGCGUUGUCCGGAUUUAUUGGGCGUAAAGCGAGCGCAGGCGGUUUUUUAAGUCUGAUGUGAAAGCCUUCGGCUCAACCGAAGAAGUGCAUCGGAAACUGGGAAACUUGAGUGCAGAAGAGGACAGUGGAACUCCAUGUGUAGCGGUGAAAUGCGUAGAUAUAUGGAAGAACACCAGUGGCGAAGGCGGCUGUCUGGUCUGUAACUGACGCUGAGGCUCGAAAGUAUGGGUAGCAAACAGGAUUAGAUACCCUGGUAGUCCAUACCGUAAACGAUGAAUGCUAAGUGUUGGAGGGUUUCCGCCCUUCAGUGCUGCAGCUAACGCAUUAAGCAUUCCGCCUGGGGAGUACGGCCGCAAGGCUGAAACUCAAAGGAAUUGACGGGGGCCCGCACAAGCGGUGGAGCAUGUGGUUUAAUUCGAAGCUACGCGAAGAACCUUACCAGGUCUUGACAUACUAUGCAAAUCUAAGAGAUUAGACGUUCCCUUCGGGGACAUGGAUACAGGUGGUGCAUGGUUGUCGUCAGCUCGUGUCGUGAGAUGUUGGGUUAAGUCCCGCAACGAGCGCAACCCUUAUUAUCAGUUGCCAGCAUUAAGUUGGGCACUCUGG